RNAcentral lists this ribosomal RNA (212 nucleotides) under uncultured bacterium. Its description in RNAcentral is "partial 16S ribosomal RNA". It matches the Rfam family "Bacterial small subunit ribosomal RNA", at positions 1281 to 1500 of the family's 1533-position model. The record is from RNAcentral.
GCCGGUCUCAGUUCGGAUCGGAGUCUGCAACCCGACUCCGUGAAGCUGGAUUCGCUAGUAAUCGCGCAUCAGCCAUGGCGCGGUGAAUACGUUCCCGGGCCUUGUACACACCGCCCGUCAAGCCAUGGGAGCCGAGGGCGCUUGAAGUGCGUCGCCGCGAGGCGCGCCCUAGAGCGAAAUCGGUGACUGGGGCUAAGUCGUAACAAGGUAAC